ACCAUCCUCCAAGGCUAAAUACUCCUGACUGACCGAUAGUGAACCAGUACCGUGAGGGAAAGGCGAAAAGAACCCCGGCGAGGGGAGUGAAAAAGAACCUGAAACCGUGUACGUACAAGCAGUGGGAGCCCCACCACUAAGCCAGUGGUGAACUCCACAUCCGCAUCCUUUGCUGAGGAUACGGUUAACGGAGCGAAAGCGACGUUCAACCGCAAAACAAGCAGAGGGGGCUUAGUGGUGGGGUGACUGCGUACCUUUUGUAUAAUGGGUCAGCGACUUAUAUUCUGUAGCAAGGUUAACCGUAUAGGGGAGCCGGAGGGAAACCGAGUCUUAAUUGGGCGUUAAGUUGCAGGGUAUAGACCCGAAACCCGGUGAUCUAGCCAUGGGCAGGUUGAAGGUUGGGUAACACUAACUGGAGGACCGAACCGACUAAUGUUGAAAAAUUAGCGGAUGACCUGUGGCUGGGGGUGAAAGGCCAAUCAAACCGGGAGAUAGCUGGUUCUCCCCGAAAGCUAUUUAGGUAGCGCCUCGUGAAUUCAUCUCCGGGGGUAGAGCACUGUUUCGGCUAGGGGGCCAUCCCGGCUUACCAACCCGAUGCAAACUGCGAAUACCGGAGAAUGUUAUCACGGGAGACACACGGCGGGUGCUAACGUCCGUCGUGAAGAGGGAAACAACCCAGACCGCCAGCUAAGGUCCCAAAGUCAUGGUUAAGUGGGAAACGAUGUGGGAAGGCCCAGACAGCCAGGAUGUUGGCUUAGAAGCAGCCAUCAUUUAAAGAAAGCGUAAUAGCUCACUGGUCGAGUCGGCCUGCGCGGAAGAUGUAACGGGGCUAAACCAUGCACCGAAGCUGCGGCAGCGAACGUAUCACCCAAGACAACUUUACGGAGUUGACGAUUGACGGAGCGAAGCGACGUCAAAGCGUUCAUUAAAGUCGAGUUGGCUUAGGGAUACGUUCGUUGGGUAGGGGAGCGUUCUGUAAGCCUGUGAAGGUGUGUCGUGAGGCAUGCUGGAGGUAUCAGAAGUGCGAAUGCUGACAUAAGUAACGAUAAAGCGGGUGAAAAGCCCGCUCGCCGGAAGACCAAGGGUUCCUGUCCAACGUUAAUCGGGGCAGGGUGAGUCGACCCCUAAGGCGAGGCCGAAAGGCGUAGUCGAUGGGAAACGGGUUAAUAUUCCCGUACUUGGUGUUACUGCGAAGGGGGGACGGAGAAGGCUAUGUUGGCCGGGCGACGGUUGUCCCGGUUUAAGCGUGUAGGUGUGUGUUCCAGGUAAAUCCGGUUCACUUUAACACUGAGGCGUGACGACGAGGCACUACGGUGCUGAAGCAACAAAUGCCCUGCUUCCAGGAAAAGCCUCUAAGCAUCAGGUAACACGAAAUCGUACCCCAAACCGACACAGGUGGUCAGGUAGAGAAUACCAAGGCGCUUGAGAGAACUCGGGUGAAGGAACUAGGCAAAAUGGUGCCGUAACUUCGGGAGAAGGCACGCUGACACGUAGGUGAAGUGAUUUACUCAUGGAGCUGAAGUCAGUCGAAGAUACCAGCUGGCUGCAACUGUUUAUUAAAAACACAGCACUGUGCAAACACGAAAGUGGACGUAUACGGUGUGACGCCUGCCCGGUGCCGGAA
Molecule: ribosomal RNA, 1624 nt
Filed under: Salmonella enterica subsp. enterica serovar Typhimurium
Lineage: Bacteria; Pseudomonadati; Pseudomonadota; Gammaproteobacteria; Enterobacterales; Enterobacteriaceae
Description: partial 23S ribosomal RNA
Rfam family: Bacterial large subunit ribosomal RNA
Source: RNAcentral